GGAGACUAUUGGAGGUAUGCCCUAGAGGCAAUCAUAGAGAUGAUGAUAUUCCAUUUGUAUCCAUGAUUUAUACUGUGUUCCUUGAAUAUCCAUUAAAGGCUACUUGAAUUGAUUUGCAAUUAUGUGAAUUGUGUGUGAAACUCUUUACUUGUAUGGUUAUUCUAAAGUUGUCCCUAGUCGGAGUUCAUGUGAGGAUACACAUGAAUAUCAGACUAGUACAUGUAUUAGUUGAUGACUAUGUUUCACAAGUCAUAGACAUGGAGAUGUUGAACUAAUAAUGUGGGCACAUGUGGAGACAUGUGCUAGGACUGACCCAACAUGAGAAGUAGUUCUCUCUUUAAACAACAUAUACGCUUUGUCCUUAGACCUGAGAUUGUCGCAUGUAUUCAAGAUGUGGAUCGACCUACUUAGGGGCUAUCAAACGCUACGCCGUAACAGGGUAGUUAUAAAGGUAGCUUUCGGGUUUGUCAAGAAGCAUGCUAUGAGACAUGGUCAAUCAAGAUGGGAUUUGCCCUUCUCUGAUUGAGAGUGAUAUCUCUAGGCCCCUCGAGUGAUC
Molecule: long non-coding RNA, 556 nt
Filed under: Setaria viridis
Lineage: Eukaryota; Viridiplantae; Streptophyta; Magnoliopsida; Poales; Poaceae
Description: long non-coding RNA (SVIR_LNC007907)
Source: RNAcentral